GUGCUAGCACUGAUUUCCUUAAAACAAGUUUAUUAAUGUAGUUAUUGGUUAGAACAAAUAAAAAUAUGGACCAAAUCAAGUACACCUUUUAGGGUGCGCUCGACUUUAGUUACUCUGCACGAGGUAUUUUGGAAUUUACAGGUUGGUUAGAACUUUUUGUAAAAAAUAAACACUAGCACAUCAUAGAAAAGCAAGUGAGUAAUCUAUGUUUCAAAUUUUAUAACAAAAAUCUCUUUAUUAAAGGCUGUGGAUUUUCUAUAAAAAAUCUUGGUUUAUUUGCCACAAAGUACUCUUUUUCUAUUAAAUGCAAUGCAACAGUAAAUAAUAAUGCUUUGCAUCAAGUUUCCCCCUAGUAUAUGUUCAAAAUGGCCUGUCUCUAUUAUUCAUUAUAUCUGUAGUUUUGAUACAAUUGAUGUUUUAAAAAAUCGUACAAAAAUGGCUACAGAAGGGUACAUAAACCUUAA
RNAcentral lists this long non-coding RNA (464 nucleotides) under Mytilus galloprovincialis (Mediterranean mussel). The record is from RNAcentral. Lineage: Eukaryota; Metazoa; Mollusca; Bivalvia; Mytilida; Mytilidae.